This 448-nucleotide ribosomal RNA is filed under the name uncultured bacterium. RNAcentral's name for it is "SSU rRNA". It matches the Rfam family "Bacterial small subunit ribosomal RNA", at positions 26 to 518 of the family's 1533-position model. The record is from RNAcentral.
AGAACGAACGCUGGCGGCAGGCUUAACACAUGCAGGUCGAACGCUCGUAGCAAUACGGGAGUGGCAGACGGGUGAGUAACGCGUGGGAACAUACCCUCCGGUUCGGAAUAGCUCAGGGAAACUUGGAUUAAUACCGGAUACGGCCGAGAGGCGAAAGAUUUAUCGCCGGAGGAUUGGCCCGCGUUCGAUUAGCUAGUUGGUGAGGUAACGGCUCACCAAGGCGAUGAUCGAUAGCUGGUCUGAGAGGAUGAUCAGCCACAUUGGGACUGAGACACGGCCCAAACUCCUACGGGAGGCAGCAGUGGGGAAUAUUGGACAAUGGGCGCAAGCCUGAUCCAGCCAUGCCGCGUGAGUGAUGACGGCCUUAGGGUUGUAAAGCUCUUUCGCUCGGGACGAUAAUGACGGUACCGAGAUAAGACGCCCCGGCUAACUUCGCGCCAGCAGCCGC